This is a small nuclear RNA of Callithrix jacchus (white-tufted-ear marmoset), 104 nucleotides long. Lineage: Eukaryota; Metazoa; Chordata; Mammalia; Primates; Cebidae. The record is from Ensembl.
AUACUUUCAGCAGCACAUGUAUUACAAUUGGAACAAUACAGAGAACAUUUGCAUGGUUCCUGCGCAAGGAUGACAUGCAGAUUCGUGAAGCAUUCCAUAUUAAA